Molecule: ribosomal RNA, 247 nt
Filed under: uncultured bacterium
Lineage: Bacteria
Description: partial 16S ribosomal RNA
Rfam family: Bacterial small subunit ribosomal RNA
Source: RNAcentral
AUACGGAAGGUGCAAGCGUUAAUCGGAAUCACUGGGCGUAAAGCGCUCGUAGGCCGCCUUUUAAGUCGGACGUGAAAGCCCUCGGCUCAACCGAGGAACUGCGUUCGAAACUGGGAGGCUUGAGUCCUGGAGAGGGUGGCGGAAUUCCGGGUGUAGGAGUGAAAUCCGUAGAGAUCUGGAGGAACACCAGUGGCGAAGGCGACUACCUGGACCGAUACUGACACUGAGGAGCGAAAGCGUGGGGAGC